GUUAUCUCAGACAACUGAUGGAAAACACAGAGGAAGGACUGAAAAAACCCCAUUGACUUAAAGUUACAUCGUGAAGUAGCAAAAGAAGCCAGUAAACUUAAAUCUUGGUCUGGACACAAGAUUUAUUGGCUCAAAAAGAACUGAGCUUCUCUCUCCCCUCCCAGUCUGACAUCAAAAUAACAGUACUACUGUACACAGGAUUUCCAAAGGGCAAAUCCACGUGGGAAGCCCUGAAGAACAUUCUGCUGUUUAAUGGGGACAGUAUUUCAGAACUGCUCGUUCCUUGUCAGCCUGGGGCAGUUUCAGCACUGGGAAUCUGGAGCUCUCUUGAGGCAUUGCUCAGUGAUAAAGCUGGUUAUUCUUCUUCCUACAUAUUUCUGCUUGUUUAUCUUCCUCCAAGCCUUGCCUCCUGUUGUACAACCAUUCAGAGAUGAUGACAGCCCUGAUUUCAUAUAAGAGAUUAGCAACAAAGUCUGGUCCAGCUGUUAUCUAGCCCAGCUGAACUCUUGCAAGAGAUGCUCAGCUUCAGAGUUCCAACCUGAAAAUGUGAAUGGCUCUAGGACUGUUGGGUGUCUGUGACAGCUCAGUAUUAAUGGCAUUCUGUACUGAAAUAAGGGCCUGGCUUUGCCACGUGUUGUAAGGCAUGCAAUUACCACAUGACUGAGCUUACAAGAACAGGAGUCAAGACAAAAGGAAGGGAGCAGAAAGAGGUAUUGCUUCUACUGAGAAGAGAAGCUGAAGGACAGAAAGAGGGUUUGUAAAAUGACAAAUCAAAGCAGAAGACAUGGCUCCAUCCUGAUUUCAGGGUUCAGAAGAAAGACAGGUACUUUCAAGUAAAACAAUAACAACCCUGUUGUCUGAAUAAAGCUUAGAGCAGACAUACUAAAACCUGACAGAAAAACUGAGAGGCUUUUAUUUGAUUAACUCUUGGUUGAAUUUUAACACGUUUAGGGCAGUAUUUGUAAAUAUGAUCACUGCUAUAUCUCAGUGCUUCAAAAUGCUUUUUGACAUGAACAGGUAUUUUAAAGGGGGCAACUCUUCUGAAACAGCAUAUAUUACAGUCUCUGUAUGUAACUGCUCCUUCUGGAGAGAGCAGUGCCACAGCACUGAGGGCACUGGCACCAUCACUGCACAGCAGAGGAGAACAUCAUUGGUCUCUCCCAGAGAAAAGCUCACUGCCUGUUUCUGGAGCUCUGCAGGCAAGAUAUUGCUUUUUUUUAAUUCAGAUCACAUUAAUAUUAAAGCUUUAAUUUUAGAAGUUCAUAAUACAUUUAUGUUUGUGUAUCAUUCCAAAAUUAAUAUUUGCAAAUUGACAUUAUUAAUAUAUUGUCUUUUGUUUUUUUCUAGAAGCUUUCACCCAGAAAUGAAAAUCCUUUAGUCAUUAGUGUUUUGUAGCACUAUUUCAUCUCUGUUACAAAGUGAACUCUUA
This is a long non-coding RNA of Vidua macroura (Pin-tailed whydah), 1429 nucleotides long. RefSeq lists it as uncharacterized. The record is from RefSeq and is a predicted model, not a curated record. The transcript has 4 exons. NCBI's taxonomy places the organism in Eukaryota, Metazoa, Chordata, Aves, Passeriformes, Viduidae.